UCUUGUUGCUUUAUUUUUGUCCAGUCAUCGUAUUAUCUAGUUAAGAAUUCAUAAUGACCUGGGAACCUAAUCAGCAAACAGGUCAAUUCUUAGGAGAUUUUGUGAGUCAAAGAUAAGUGAUGUAGUUGGCUGGGUGGUGGUGGCACACACCUUUAGUCCCAGCACUCAGGAGGCAGAGGCAGGUGGAUCUCUGUGAGUUGGAGGCCGGGCUGGACUGACAGCCCCAAAACAAUACAGAGAAACCCUAUCUCGUAAAAACCAAAAAAAAAAAAAAAAAAAGAAAGAUAAGUGAUGUAGUAAGAAAGCGAAAGUGUUGGGUUUGCAGCUGGGUCUUCUGAGCACAAGACUUUCCAUGAUGCAAUGCUAACUUAGUAAAAGCACCAACACUGUUUCCCUCUCCUUGAGAACAUUUACCUUUGUAUUUCUCUUGAUUUUAAGAAUUGUAGAGCUUGUGUUUUUUAAGCUCAUUGUGGAAAUUUGUGUUUGCACAGCUGAAAUGGUGUGAAAUACUGAUAACAACUCAGGGCUGCAGGUUGGUCCCAUACCUUAGCAAAUACAGGCAGAAUAACAGACAGUGAUUCAUGGGACUAGGUAUUAAUAUGAAAUAUAAUUUAUUUUGGGGAAAAGUCACUUACAGAAGAAACAGAUAGCCACCACAGGAUCCUGCUCUAAGGAUGUGUGCAGCCUGCUCUUCUGUGACCUGCCCAGAAGCAAGAGAUCUCUGAGGUCCAGGACCCCAGAUCUAGUCCUCUCCUCCAUCAUGUCCUCACCUGUGACCACACCCAAACGGGCAUGAGCAAUGCUACAGGUGUGGGUGGGGUAGAUAUCUCACUACAAUUCUCCUUGUAGUCUAAGGGAAAAGAUUAAUUUUUGAAACAGAACUAUAUACAAAGAUAGCAAAUAACAGGUAUGCUCUAGGAGAAGGAAAAGUGGGAGCAAACACACUUAAGACCUAUCACCAGUGAAGCAACUAGAGCAAAUGACAAAAACUACAUAUGCUGUCCUAGGAUAAAGGCAUAAUAGAGAUUGCUAUAGAGCUGCCCUAAGCUGGAAAGCUUAAGUCUUAUAUCUAAUAUUUCUAUCUAGGAAGAGAAAACAAUAAUUCGGACAAUCUAAUCAUUAACCUCAUCAAAGACCUGAGAAGGAGGGUAACAAUAUUAGGAUAGGCAGGAAGUGUAGGUGAGCAGCUUCCAAAAGGUGCAGCGAAGACAGAAACAUCAGGCUACCUGGACAGUCACCCAAAGUCUUACAGCAGCAUAGGGGCAGCCAGCUUUGGUUAAGGUCUAGAGUAUCUGACUGGCCCUGACUUGGCUAGUUUUAGCAGUCUUCUGAGUUUAUCUUCUACAAGCACAGUAGGGACAGAAUGUCCAAAGUCAGCAGUCAAGGUGGGGGUAGUUUUUUGCUCAAGAGGCCAUUAGCUGAAGAGAGAACAGUUCCAGAAGGAGUGACAUCGGUGCCCAACAUCUUCUUGGGAAUAGCUUGCUGCUGUCAGGAGCAAUUGUGUCUCAUGUCAAUGGAGUACUAGUAUUAAAACAUUUAAGUUCCGUAUUUUGCAGGUCUUUGAAGUGUUUGAAGAUCAAAUAUCUGUAUCUGACUAAUCUCAUAGAAAAUAUAUGAAGAUCCUGAAAUGAAUAUAAAUGACUGUGACUAUAUCUCUGUGAACAAACAGUGUCUGUUUCUUGAUGAAGCUACAUCACAUAAAUAUAUUGGAGAAAGCUGGAAGAGGGUUAGAAAACUUUUUGGAAAAUCUGAAGUUAAUCUUUGCCCUCAGGGAGAGACACUACCUAAUCACUCUAAAGGACAAACAUCCCUAAAGAAAUUAUGACUCCAGGUGGAAUUAGAAAUAACAAAUUCCAGAAGAGCAAUUGAUGACCAAGUCAAGCACACCACUCCACAGAGAGACCAGAGUGCAGGAGCAGAGCUGUGUCCAGUUUCUAGAUGAUGAAAUGGAAACUCAGAGAAAAUGAAGUAAUUUGCUCCUGAUAACAAGGAUGAUGAACCCAGAGGAGUGGCCACCAUGAACAUCAUCCUGGGUGUGCUUUGGAUCAAAGAGAUCACUGAUGAGUCAAAGACCAUCAGGAAGCUGUUCCCAGGCUUGUUUCUUGAGGACCAGUGGUUCUUGUGCUGGUGAAUGCCUUGGAUUUUUUUCAUUGAAAUAUUUUCAGAAAAAAUAUUGUGGAGGUCAGUCUAAGAAAUAAAUCACUACGGGCCAUAUUCACUGUGAGGCUCAUGGAUGUACAUCAAACAGCCACAGCAUCACUUUGGUGUCAGAAGUUUCUGAACCUGGAUCCAGGUGCUCAGAAAAGUGACUGCUCCUCAGCCUGACCAGGCCCAUGUGGACUCUCCUUUCGCUAAGUUCUCCCCCACUUCACUCGGCAAGGCAAAAUUCCUGCCACUGUGAACCAGCACCUUCUACCUGCCGGUAAACUCAGGAAAGAAUACUGGACAUAUAGAUUCCUGAAGAAGAAUGAAUAGCUACUCUGAGG
This is a long non-coding RNA of Mesocricetus auratus (golden hamster), 2486 nucleotides long. RefSeq lists it as uncharacterized. The record is from RefSeq and is a predicted model, not a curated record. The transcript is spliced from 8 exons. Lineage: Eukaryota; Metazoa; Chordata; Mammalia; Rodentia; Cricetidae.